CUGGCGGCGUGCCUAAUACAUAGCAAGUCGAACGGUCUUUCUAUGGAAGCUUGCUUCCACUGAGAAGAUAGUGGCGGACGGGUGAGUAACAACGUGGGGUAACCUGCCCAUAAGAGGGGGAUAACAUCCGGAAACGGGUGCUAAUACCGCAUAGUUUUCUUGAUCGCAUGAUUGAGAAAGGAAAGACGGCCUUUGUGCUGUCGCUUAUGGAUGGACCCGCGGCGUAUUAGUUAGUUGGUGAGGUAAUGGCUCACCAAGACGAUGAUACGUAGCCGACCUGAGAGGGUGAUCGGCCACAUUGGGACUGAGACACGGCCCAAACUCCUACGGGAGGCAGCAGUAGGGAAUCUUCCGCAAUGGACGAAAGUCUGACGGAGCAACGCCGCGUGAGUGAAGAAAAGGGUUUUCGGAUCGUAAAACUCUGUUGUCAGAGAAGAACAAGUUGGAGAGUAACUGCUCCAGCCUUGACGGUAUCUGACCAGAAAGCCACGGCUAACUACGUGCCAGCCGCCGC
This 514-nucleotide ribosomal RNA is filed under the name uncultured bacterium. Its description in RNAcentral is "bacterial SSU rRNA". It matches the Rfam family "Bacterial small subunit ribosomal RNA", at positions 36 to 518 of the family's 1533-position model. The record is from RNAcentral.